This 1110-nucleotide ribosomal RNA is filed under the name uncultured metazoan. RNAcentral's name for it is "SSU rRNA". It matches the Rfam family "Eukaryotic small subunit ribosomal RNA", at positions 550 to 1677 of the family's 1831-position model. Lineage: Eukaryota; Metazoa. The record is from RNAcentral.
GGAGGGCAAGUCUGGUGCCAGCAGCCGCGGUAAUUCCAGCUCCAAUAGCGUAUACUAAAGUUGUUGCGGUUAAAAAGCUCGUAGUUGGAUCUAUGAAUGUGAACGCGAGGUCGCCUUAUUGAGUGAACUUUGUGGCGCAUUCUUCCCUUUGGUCGGUGUGUUCGUGCUCUUAAUUGAGUGCGACAUGCUACCAGAAAUUUUACCUUGAAAAAAUUAGAGUGUUCAAAGCAGACCUUUUUGUGUCUGAAUAUUCGUGCAUGGAAUAAUAAAAUAUGAAUUCGGUUCUAUUUUAUUGGUUUUCGGAACUCGAGUUAAUGAUUAAGAGGGACAGACGGGGGCAUCCGUACUCUGCCGUUAGAGGUGAAAUUCUUGGAUCGGCGGAAGACGCGCAACUGCGAAAGCAUUUGCCAAGAAUGUUUUCUUUAAUCAAGAACGAUAGUCGGAGGUUCGAAGACGAUCAGAUACCGUCCUAGUUUCGACUGUAAACUAUGCCAGCUAACGAUCAGACAGCGUUCUCUACGACUUGUCUGGCAGUUUCCGGGAAACCAAAGCUUUUGGGUUCCGGGGGAAGUAUGGUUGCAAAGCUGAAACUUAAAGGAAUUGACGGAAGGGCACCACCAGGAGUGGAGCCUGCGGCUUAAUUUGACUCAACACGGGGAAACUCACCCGGCCCGGACACAGUGAGGAUUGACAGAUUGAGAGUUCUUUCUUGAUUCUGUGGGUGGUGGUGCAUGGCCGUUCUUAGUUGGUGGAGCGAUUUGUCUGGUUAAUUCCGAUAACGAACGAGACUCUGGCAUGUUAAAUAGUCGCGGGAGUAAUUUUAACUCACCAUGAGACUUCUUAGAGGGACAAGUGAUUCUAAUCACACGAGAUUGAGCAAUAACAGGUCUGUGAUGCCCUUAGAUGUUCGGGGCCGCACGCGCGCUACAAUGAGUCGAUCAACGAGCGUAUAUUAUUAUCCAAGUCCGAAAGGUCGAGGUAAUCCGUUGAACCCGACUCGUGCUAGGGAUAGGGAAUUGUAAUUGUUUCCCUUGAACGAGGAAUUCCCAGUAAGCGCAAGUCAUCAGCUUGCGUUGAUUACGUCCCUGCCCUUUGUACACACCGCCCGUC